This 1710-nucleotide long non-coding RNA is filed under the name Mytilus galloprovincialis (Mediterranean mussel). Lineage: Eukaryota; Metazoa; Mollusca; Bivalvia; Mytilida; Mytilidae. The record is from RNAcentral.
AUGAAUCUUUAUUUAUUAUUUAAUUGUACUUUCAUUGGUAGGAAACUGUAACAGUUAUAUGAAAUCUAGCCUACCUGGUGGUAGGUUGUUCUAUACAUCUAGUUUAUAAAUAAGCAAUAACUGGAGGUACCAAGAUGAAUUUAAAGGAUAAUGUGUAGUCUAUUUAUUCAUGCAUUGGCCAUUAAUUUGUUCUGUGAUAAAAGUUUAUCGACUAUAAUCAUUUUCACACAAUGAUUAAAUGGACAAUCAUUUUCAUAGCAAAAUAUGUUAGUUUUUUUACUGAAGAUUUUUUUAAUGUUAUUUAGAUUUUAAUGUUGUGUUUUUAUAUACCUUUUGCAUUUAGUUGAUCAAAAAUGUAUGCUUUGACUGUUCUAAUCUACACUUGUCAUGUUUUAAUAGGUGUAAUGAAAUAAGAUUAAACCAAUUUCUCUUGACUUUUCCCAUUUUUAAAGGCAUAAAAAAGAGACAACAUUUAGUGAUGCACAGAUAGAUAACAUGUUUGUAGUCACUAGGGGACACCUAAAUAUUGUCUUACAGCCUUUUGCAUUGAGUGUGUAGGUAAAGGUAAUAUCUUUGGUUAGGUAAACUAUCCUCCUUGAAGAGUAGACUUGUCCAACAGAUAACCAAUUUAUCUCUCUGUAGCUAUAUAUAGGCUACUUCAAAAAGAGGGUACUAUACCUAACAUAAUAAUGACUUCACGGUUCAGCUAGCAAGCAAGCUAAGCAAAGAUAUUACCUUUAUGUACACACUCAAUGCAAUGGGCUGUAAAUUAAUAAGAAAAUAGGUUACUAUGGUUUAAACUUGCAAUCAGAUUAUAGUUAAAAUAAAUGAUGUUCAAGGAUUUAGGAUUCUAGAAUUUUUUUCUGAGUAAUAUAUUUUUAUUAACCUUUAGAGGCCUAUGUGGCAGAGUGGUCUAUAAGUUAAACAAAUGCAUCACUAGCCUGUCUAAACUGAGGAAUUGAGUUCAAUUCCAGCAUGUGGCAAGUGCACUUGACUCCACUUUAAUUCAUAAGAAUUGUCAGUUUUCUUGGGGCACCUAGGCUUCCUCCACCAAAAAAAAAUUCCUGGCAUGAAAUAACACCAUAGUUUUGAAAGCAGCGUUAAACACCAAACAAUUAAUCGAGUUUACUCUUUAAAAUUUCAACCAUAGUUUCUGAAGGAAAGUAUAAUCUUCUGAGAGCAUAAAAUUCAAUUCAAUUUAAACUACUGCAAAAAGUGAUUGACAACCAUAAAUCCCUUAAACCCAGCAAAAAUACAUUAAUUUAUUCAAUUAUUUCAUUAAGUCUUAUUUAAAGACAUGAUAUUGGUGUCCCUUUUCUGACAAAAACUUGGGUUAAUCUGCUAUCUCAUUUUAAAGCUGUAACACCCCUGCUAUAAAUUCUAUAUAGAAAACUGAUUUAUUCCUCUGCAUAUAUAUCCAUUCUAGUUGCAUUUAUGAGUCUUGGUGGAAUUUUUUUUAGUAAAGAGAAAAAUAUGACAAUAAAUAAAGAAUAAACAGAAAAAUAAGGUUCUACAUGUAUAAAGAAUUGAGAAACAAAUGGCAUAUACUAAAAUGAAUAUCCCUAUCCAGACCCUCUUAUUUAUUGUUCUUAUUUUUUCAAAAGUUGAUAUAACAUUUAGAGCAAGAUAUGGUUUAUAUACUUCAAUUUUAAUGAAGUGCAGAUGUGAUUUUGAUAUCUGUUUUAGUAGGCUUUUAUAUUUUGUUAAGCA